RNAcentral lists this ribosomal RNA (467 nucleotides) under uncultured bacterium. Its description in RNAcentral is "partial 16S ribosomal RNA". It matches the Rfam family "Bacterial small subunit ribosomal RNA", at positions 28 to 507 of the family's 1533-position model. The record is from RNAcentral.
GAUGAACGCUGGCGGCGUGCUUAACACAUGCAAGUCGAACGGAAAGGCCCAAGCUUGCUUGGGUACUCGAGUGGCGAACGGGUGAGUAACACGUGGGUGAUCUGCCCCGCACUUCGGGAUAAGCCUGGGAAACUGGGUCUAAUACCGGAUAGGACAGUGGUUUGGAUGCCAUUGUGGAAAGUUUUUUCGGUGUGGGAUGAGCUCGCGGCCUAUCAGCUUGUUGGUGGGGUAAUGGCCUACCAAGGCGUCGACGGGUAGCCGGCCUGAGAGGGUGUACGGCCACAUUGGGACUGAGAUACGGCCCAGAAUCCUACGGGAGGCAGCAGUGGGGAAUAUUGCACAAUGGGCGCAAGCCUGAUGCAGCGACGCCGCGUGGGGGAUGACGGCCUUCGGGUUGGAAACUCCUUUCGCUAGGGACGAAGCGUUAUGUGACGGUACCUAGAGAAGAAGCACCGGCUAACUACGUG